This 1362-nucleotide ribosomal RNA is filed under the name uncultured prokaryote. Its description in RNAcentral is "partial 16S ribosomal RNA". It matches the Rfam family "Bacterial small subunit ribosomal RNA", at positions 109 to 1482 of the family's 1533-position model. The record is from RNAcentral.
CGUAACGCGUAUAGAAUCUGCCUUUCACAGGGAGAUAGCCCGAAGAAAUUCGGAUUAAUACCCCAUAGUUUUGUAAUCUCGCAUGAGAUAUCAAAUAAAACUCCGGUGGUGAAAGAUGGGCAUGCGUGUCAUUAGAUAGUUGGUGAGGUAACGGCUCACCAAGUCUUCGAUGACUACGGGGUCUUAAAGGAUGGUCCCGCACACUGGUACUGAGACACGGACCGGCCUCAUACGGGAGGCAGCAGUGAGGACUCUUGAGCACUGGAGGCCACUCUGCCCCAGCCAUCCCGCGUGAAGGAAGACGGCCUUAUGGGUUGUAAACUUCUUUUAUGUACCAAGAAAGAUAAGUACGUGUAUUUAUUUGACGGUACUGUAUGAAUAAGCAUCGGCUAACUCCGUGCCAGCAGCCGCGGUAAUACGGAGGGUGCAAGCGUUAUCCGGAUUCAUUGGGUUUAAAGGGUACUUAGGCGGAUAGAUAAGUCAGUGGUGAAAGCCCGAAGCUCAACUUCGGAACUGCCAUUGAUACUGGAGUUCUUGAGCAUAGUUGAGGUAGGCGGAAUGUGUCAUGUAGCGGUGAAAUGCUUAGAUAUGACACAGAACACCGAUUGCGAAGGCAGCUUACUAAACUGUUAUUGACGCUGAGGCACGAAAGCGUGGGGAGCGAACAGGAUUAGAUACCCUGGUAGUCCACGCCGUAAACGAUGAUUACUGGUUGUGCGCGAUACACAGUGCGCGACUGAGGGAAACCAUUAAGUAAUCCACCUGGGGAGUACGUUCGCAAGAAUGAAACUCAAAGGAAUUGACGGGGGCCCGCACAAGCGGAGGAACAUGUGGUUUAAUUCGAUGAUACGCGAGGAACCUUACCUGGGCUUAAAUGUAGAGUGCAUUAUUUGGAAACAGAUAUUUCCUUCGGGACUCUUUACAAGGUGCUGCAUGGUUGUCGUCAGCUCGUGCCGUGAGGUGUCGGGUUAAGUCCCAUAACGAGCGCAACCCCUACUGUUAUUUGCCAUCGGGUCAUGCCGCGGAAUCUCAAGGCACUGACGGUGUAAACCGCGCGCAAGCUGGGGAUGACGUCAAAUCAGCACGGCCCUUAUGUCCAGGGCUACACACGUGUUACAAUGGUAGAUACAAAGAGCAGCUAUGUGGUGACACAGUGCUAAUCUCAAAAGUCUAUCUUAGUUCGGAUCGGAGUCUGCAACUCGACUUCGUGAAGUUGGAUUCGCUAGUAAUCGUAUAUCAGCCAUGAUACGGUGAAUACGUUCCCGGGCCUUGUACACUCCGCCCGUCAAGCCAUGGAAGUUGGGGGUACCUGAAGUCCGUAACCGUAAGGAGCGGCCCAGGGUAACACUAGUAACUAGGGCU